UGCCCUGAGGUGAGAUCACGCUAAAGUGACAUUUAGAGAAGCACCCUAAAAGGUGCCAGGGUCU
RNAcentral lists this transfer RNA (64 nucleotides) under Hemitheconyx taylori. Its description in RNAcentral is "tRNA-Cys". Lineage: Eukaryota; Metazoa; Chordata; Lepidosauria; Squamata; Eublepharidae. The record is from RNAcentral.